This 2523-nucleotide small RNA is filed under the name Pan troglodytes (chimpanzee). RNAcentral's name for it is "retained intron". Lineage: Eukaryota; Metazoa; Chordata; Mammalia; Primates; Hominidae. The record is from RNAcentral.
UUCUUUAAAAAUGAUGCAAAACCCUUUGUCCCCACUUGCUGCCGGGAUGAGAGGUAAGCACGGACCUGCCCACCCUCUGACAUCGUUAGCCAGUGAAGACCCUGGAGCUGGCCAUGGAGCGAGCACCUCCGCAUCCAGGCUCGGCAGUGAGGAGGAUGGGCCCCAGCAGAUGAGCUUCUCCCACGGGCAGCACGCAGGGUAGACAGAGGCCUCGCGUAGGGCAUGGAGGGCCCAGGUGGACAUCCUUUUGUCAGUGAAGAUGGCCCCUCCUCAGGUUCCCCUCACGACAAAAGCGUUUGUGAUCAGACAGCCCACUAGGGUGAAUGGCUCAUCUCUUACCUGCCCAUGGGUAAGCAGACACCUGGACGGCUUCCACAAGAAUUUAUUAUUGCAAUGAAUGUGUAGCAUGAGGGGGGUCUUAUCUUUUAAGAGGGUCUUACUCUGUUGCCCAGGCUGCAGUGCAGUGGUACAGUCAUUACUUAGUGUAGCCUCUAGCUGCUGGGCUCAAGCGAUCCUCCUGCCUCAGCCUCCUGAGUACCUGGGACUAUAGGCGUGCACCAUGCCUGGCUAAUUUUUAAAAUUUUGUAGAGACAGAAUUUCGCUGUGUUGCCCAGGCUGGUCUGGAAUUCCUGGGCUCAAGCAAUCUGCCGGUGAGCCACCGCGCCCAGCCUGUCUUUAAAAAUUUUUUAAAGAACAUCCCACUCAGACCAGCGUUAACAAUAACAUACUUUAGGUGGUCAAAAAUAAUAAAUUUUGUUAGGUAUAUUUCAUCACAAUUUUUAAAAAGACAAAUGGAGCAUGCCCCGCCCUCCCCCCCAAAAAAGAUGAAUAGCAACACAAACAGGAUACGGGAAAAUAACAUUUUGGGGUCUAUACUCAAGGUUUUUGGAGACUUCUAUUACAGAGACCUAGCAGGGGUCAUCAGUUAGGCCCUAGACGUCCUCACACCCUUGCAAAGGGGAUGUGUGGUCAGCUGCCACGUCUUGUCCGUGGCCAAAGGCUGCAGCUCCUCCCUGAAGCCUGAGCACCCCUCCCCCGACACCUCCCAGAGGAAGCUCCGUGACGCCCCUGGGGCCCUGAGUGUCUGCUUAUAACCAACCCUGUUUAAUUUUCCUGUGAAGAAUGGAGACUUUUGCUGUCGGCUCCAGAGCUGUGCGUCUGUGUGAGUAGGGGGUGGCCGUCCCCCCAGGGAGGGUGCAGCUUCAUGUGUCUGGUGGCCUUUCCUUCCAGACCCCCAGAGGAGCCCACCACCUGGACCGGGUACUUCGGGAAAGUGCUCAUGGCCUCCACCAGCUACCUGCCUUCCCAAGUGACAGAAAUGUUCAACCAGGGCAGAGCCUUCGCCACGGUCCGCCUGCCAUUCUGCGGCCACAAAAACAUCUGCUCGCUAGCCACAAUUCAGAAGAUCCCGCGGUUGUUGGUGGGUGCCGCCGACGGGUACCUGUACAUGUACAACCUGGACCCCCAGGAGGGCGGCGAGUGCGCCCUGAUGAAGCAGCACCGGCUGGACGGCAGUCUGGAAACGACCAAUGAGAUCUUGGACUCUGCCUCUCACGACUGCCCCUUAGUCACUCAGACAUACGGCGCAGCUGCAGGAAAAGGUACUUACGUGCCUUCAUCCCCAACGAGACUUGCCUACACAGACGACCUGGGUGCUGUGGGUGGCGCCUGCCUGGAGGACGAGGCCAGCGCCCUGCGCCUGGAUGAGGACAGCGAGCACCCGCCCAUGAUUCUUCGGACUGACUGAACUUGACCUGUGACCUCUGACCCGGGGAGCAGAGAACACUGGCUUCACAGAGGACUUUGUGCAUUGCUGCUAUGAACUUUGACCUGAGUCGGGGGAGAGGAUGGCAGAGACUUUAUUAAAAAAAAAAAAAAGAUUGUAGUGGUAGUCUAACUCCAUAACGCUGAGGAAAUACAUCAUUUUCACUUCAGUGGCUUUUAAAUCCUGCUUAUGAAUUUUAGCUUUUUGUUUGUUUGUUUUCUCUUUUUGCCAAAAUUAACUGUUUGGUGAAGCCCGCAAAACCGCCUCGCUUUGCAUGCGUGAACGUGCCAAGCCAGCAUAGGGGAGCUAGAAGCCACUUUCCAGCCACCUGCCGUUGGGUUUUUUCAUAUCUGUACAUAAUGCCGAGUGCGUAAGGAAACCGUGGCGUCGCGCACAGUGGGUCUGCUUGUCAAGGCCAGUUCUGCAGUGACAGGCCUGGGGCUGCCCACCAGGUGUGCUGGGCAGACUUCAGCUGGGACAGGAGUCCGAUCUCCCUAGGGCCCCACCUGGACCAUUUUCCCUCCGUUUUAUUUUGUUAAUUAAAUUCUUUCCAAAUUGGAUCACUCUGGGAUUUCUUCCAUGGUGGACUUUUGUUUCUGAUCUUGUUUUCCAUGUGGAUAUUGGAGGACAGCGAGGUUCUUUCUGAUACUAAAAACCUUUCUUUCAGGCAGCAAAUGAACUUGAAAGGUUGCCUGGACUCGCUGGAGCAAAGGAAAGCGAUUUUGUUUGUAUAAUUAAAUGAUCUGUUCUUCUACUUC